Molecule: ribosomal RNA, 273 nt
Filed under: uncultured bacterium
Lineage: Bacteria
Description: partial 16S ribosomal RNA
Rfam family: Bacterial small subunit ribosomal RNA
Source: RNAcentral
CUUCCGCCGGCGACCGGCGCACGGGUGAGUAACACGUAUGCAACCUGCCCCUGUCAGGGGGACAACCCGCCGAAAGGCGGGCUAAACCCGCGUACAUGCCACCGGGGCAUCCCGGAGGCAGGAAAGGCUUCGGCCGGACAGGGAUGGGCAUGCGGCGCAUUAGCUAGACGGCGGGGUAACGGCCCACCGUGGCGACGAUGCGUAGGGGUUCUGAGAGGAAGGUCCCCCACACUGGUACUGAGACACGGACCAGACUCCUACGGAAGGCAGCAG